AGUGAACGCUGGCGGUAGGCCUAACACAUGCAAGUCGAACGGCAGCACAGUAAGAGCUUGCUCUUACGGGUGGCGAGUGGCGGACGGGUGAGGAAUACAUCGGAAUCUACUUUUUCGUGGGGGAUAACGUAGGGAAACUUACGCUAAUACCGCAUACGACCUACGGGUGAAAGCAGGGGAUCUUCGGACCUUGCGCGAUUGAAUGAGCCGAUGUCGGAUUAGCUAGUUUGGCGGGGUAAAGGCCCACCAAGGCGACGAUCCGUAGCUGGUCUGAGAGGAUGAUCAGCCACACUGGAACUGAGACACGGUCCAGACUCCUACGGGAGGCAGCAGUGGGGAAUAUUGGACAAUGGGCGCAAGCCUGAUCCAGCCAUACCGCGUGGGUGAAGAAGGCCUUCGGGUUGUAAAGCCCUUUUGUUGGGAAAGAAAAGCAGCAGGUUAAUACCCCGCUGUUCUGACGGUACCCAAAGAAUAAGCACCGGCUAACUUCGUG
This 493-nucleotide ribosomal RNA is filed under the name uncultured bacterium. Its description in RNAcentral is "partial 16S ribosomal RNA". It matches the Rfam family "Bacterial small subunit ribosomal RNA", at positions 29 to 507 of the family's 1533-position model. The record is from RNAcentral.